UUCGAAUACAAAUUUUGCUAUUAACCAGAAUUUGUCUUAAAAUAAAAUUGUGCUAAAUCUUAUUGGGUUCUGAGUUUAUUCAAUACAAUUUUUUGUCCAGAUUUUGUGGACUUUGAUAAAGUUUUAACCAAUAGAGCAUAUUGUAAAAUAGUUGUUAGAAUGUGAUAGGCUUCUUCUACAGCUACACUUAGAUAAUUGAACACUAGGUAACAUCAAAAUUCUUCUCCUUUCAUUACUGUUAAAAACUGAUCUAAAUAGAAGUUGUAUGGACUAAAUUGGCCUUACAUUGUUUCAUAAACUUUCUAAUAACACCUGAUUAAUUACAUAAUGUAAGCCUUCAUUCAUUUGGGCUUAAUAAUAUGACGUUUGGGCCUAUUAUUGUUGGGCCCUGAUAUCUCAAGUUCCUACACUACACCUGCCAGAUUUUAACUUGCCUUUUGUUGUGGAAACAGACGCGUUUGCAGUAGCCGUGGGGGCUGUACUCAGCCAAAAGGGGCACCCGCUAUCCUUCUUCAGCAAGAAAAUGUGUCCAAGGCUCCAAGCUUCAUCUGUGUAUGUCCGAGAUAUGUAUGCAAUCACAGAAGUAGUAAAAAAAAUGGCGUCAGUACUUGUUAGGGCAACAUUUCAAAAUAAUCACAGAUAAAAAAAGUUUGAAUACACUUCAGUCACAAAAAAUACAAACUCCAGAACAACAAAGAUGGACAUCAAAGUUACAGGGAUAUGAUUUCCAAAUUCUAUACCGACCUGGUAAACAAAAUGUGGUUGCAGAUGCUCUCUCACGCCAAGACACAAAUUCGUCUUCAAUGUUGCUUGCACUCUCGUCGCCAAUACCAUUGUUGUUUGAAGAGUUACAACAAUUUUAUUCCACCAUAGAAGGAGCAAAAUUAGUUGACGCUUGCACUAAAGAUACACAAGGACCCAGCCUCUUCUCGGUCCGUCAUGGUCUACUAUUCUUUUGUCACCAAGUGUUUCUUCUAGAUACCAACAAUUUCAGAAACCGCAUCCUCCAAGAACUACAUGAAUCGCCCACAGCGGGUCAUUUCGGCAUUAACCCACCCUUGCUCGCAUUGUUGCUGCCUUCUACUGGCCGAGGUGGACUAGAGAUAUCAAGAACUACAUUCAACAAUGCACAACAUGUCAGCGUAACAAGUAUUUGCAAACAAAGCCCCAUGGAUUACUCACCAAGCGAUUCUCAGUUGAGAUUUGUCGUCUGCAUGGGCUGCCAAAAACCAUUGUCUCAGACCGAGAUCCCCUAUUUGUCAACACUUUUUGGAAACACCUAUUCAAGGCACAACAUUAAAGUUCAGUUCUGCUUACUAUCCGCAAACUGAUGGACAAACAAAAGUUCUUAAUCGAAGUUUGGAAGAUUACUUACGAUGCUUUGCUGGCGAACAUCCUCACACUUGGUUCCAAUAUCUUCAUCUAGCAGAACUUUGGCACAAUACGACUUACCACUAUGCCAUUGGAACCUCACCGUUCCAUGCUCUGUACGGAAGACAACCUCCCACCGCCCUAGAUCUGUUGCACAGUCCACGCUCAGGCACCACUGUUGCUGAUUUAUUGCACCAACACACGCUGGUUCUCCACGCCCUCAAACAAAACCUUCGUCGGGCCCGUCAACGAAUGUGCGACCAGGCCAACCGCCACCGAUCCGAACGCUCUUUUAACCCUGAUGACUGGGUAUGGGUACGUCUUCAACCUCACUGCCAGCAAUCGGUGAAGCGUCGUACAUGUUCGAAGCUCGCCCCUUGUUACUCGGGGCCUUAUCAAGUGCUCCGCCGCAUCGGCGCUAUGGCCUACGAACUCUGUUUACCAACCACCUCGCGAGUACACCCGGUAUUUCAUGUAUCCCUCCUCCAUGCUUUCAAAGGAACCCAUGUAGCCACUGACAUUAAUUCACUCUCUCACGCGGAUAGGGACUCGCCAAACUCUUUGAAUACCCCCACGCCUAACCCUAAAAGCCUUUCAAAUGUCCAACCACUUCACUCACCUAACUUUGAAACCCCUUCAGAAGAGCAAUUAAUGCCCCUAUCUAACUCUGCAUCACGUGACUCAACACUUUCCAACCAGCAUUUAAUAGCCCCACCUAACCCUGCAGAAUUUUUAAACCCGCCAUUAAGUGACUCACCUAACUCCCUGCCCCAACCACCCAUUCCAACCACUCACCAAAAGCCAUGUAAUGACCACACUACAGAUUCCCAAAUCCAAGACUUCACUCCUAACAAUUCUAUAACGUUCCAAAACAAUCCACAAAUAGGCCAGCCAAAUGUUCACCCUUUACACCCAACACAUCCUCAAGCCCAAUCCAAUAAUUACUCUUCAGCCCAAAUCAAUCCAACCACUCAAUUUGAGGACAGAGUGUUGGAACCGGCGGAUGGUACUGAUACAACAGGGCCCAACAAUAAUAGGCCCAAACGUCAGAUUAUUAAGCCCAAAUGGAUGAAGGAUUACUUUAUGUAAUUAAUCAGGUGUUAUUAGAAAGUUUAUGAAACCAUGUAAGGCCAGUUUGGCCCAUACAACUUCUAUUUAGGUCAGUUUUUAACAGUAAUUAAAGAAGAAGAAUUUUGAUGUUACCCUAGUGUUGAAUUAUCUUAGUGUAGUCGUAGAAGAAGCCUAUCAAUUGGUGCUUUCAUUGACCUUCUCAAUGCCUCCUCCUAAACCCCAAACCAAAGACCUAGAAGAAAUUCUACAAUCCAUUCAAGA
This 2703-nucleotide long non-coding RNA is filed under the name Phaseolus vulgaris (common bean). Its description in RNAcentral is "long non-coding RNA (PVUL_LNC004009)". Lineage: Eukaryota; Viridiplantae; Streptophyta; Magnoliopsida; Fabales; Fabaceae. The record is from RNAcentral.